Molecule: non-coding RNA, 182 nt
Filed under: Sporomusa sphaeroides
Lineage: Bacteria; Bacillati; Bacillota; Negativicutes; Selenomonadales; Sporomusaceae
Also listed under: 1 other name
Source: RNAcentral
UUGUAUAUUGAUGAGCCAGGUGCCCGCAAGGGCUUAAUAGGGAAGACCGGUGUAAUGCCGGCGCGGUCCCGCCACUGUAAUGGGGAGUGAACCCAAGGUAUGCCACUGGGACGAAGGUCUCGGGAAGGUUUGGGCAAGCUAUGAGCCAGAGCCAGGAGAACUGCCUGUCUAAAGAUCGCCGU